GAUGAAGAACGUAGCGAACGUGCGAAACGUAAUGUGAAUUGCAGAAUUCAGUGAAUCAUCGAAUCUUUGAACGCAUCUUGCGCUCCUUGGUAUUCCGAGGAGCAUGCCUGUUUGAGUGUCGUGAAUACUCUCAACUUCAACCCUUUUUUCGGAAAGGGAGGAAGGUUGGACUUGGGUGUUUGUUGAAGUGCGAGCUUCGACUCAUCCUAAAUGCAUUAGCGAUCUGCCUCGAUCACACACAAUGUGAUAAUUAAAACUAAAGCAUUGUUUAAUGAUCAAGUCGAGACUGCUUCUAACUGUCGCAAGACAAUAACGUGCAUACAUUUGUGCAAGUCAUUUGACCUCAAAUCAGGUAGGACUACCCGCUGAACUUAAGCAUAUCAAUAAGCGGAGGA
This 395-nucleotide unclassified non-coding RNA is filed under the name soil metagenome. RNAcentral describes it as "partial contains 5.8S ribosomal RNA, internal transcribed spacer 2, and large subunit ribosomal RNA". The stretch from base 1 to 121 matches the Rfam family "5.8S ribosomal RNA", at positions 35 to 154 of the family's 154-position model. The record is from RNAcentral.